AUCGAACGCUGGCGGCAUGCUUUACACAUGCAAGUCGAACGGCAGCGCGGGCUUCGGCCUGGCGGCGAGUGUCGAACGGGUGAGUAAAGCAUCGGAACGUGCCCAGUUGUGGGGGGUAGCCCGGCGAAAGCCGGAUUAAUACCGCAUACGACCUGGGGGUGACAGCCGGGGACCGAAAGGCCUCGUGCUCUUGUAGCGGCCGAUGUCGGAUUGGCCAGUUGGUGGGGUAAGGGCUUACCAAGGCGACGAUCCGUAGCUCGUCUGAGAGGACGACAAGCCACCUGGUGAGUGAGCCAGCGCCAAGACUCCUGCGGUAGGCAGCAGUGGGGAAUUUUGGGCAAUGGUGGCGAACCUGAUCCAGGCAUGCCGAGGGCGGGAAGAAGGCGUCAUGGGUGGAAACAGAUUUUGUUCGUGGAGAAAUACUCUGGGCUAAUACCCCGGGGGGAUGACGGUACCGGAAGAAUAAGCACCGGCUAACUACGUG
This 484-nucleotide ribosomal RNA is filed under the name uncultured bacterium. RNAcentral describes it as "partial 16S ribosomal RNA". It matches the Rfam family "Bacterial small subunit ribosomal RNA", at positions 28 to 507 of the family's 1533-position model. The record is from RNAcentral.